GAUGAACGCUGGCGGCGUGCCUAAUACAUGCAAGUCGAGCGAACGGACGAGAAGCUUGCUUCUCUGAUGUUAGCGGCGGACGGGUGAGUAACACGUGGAUAACCUACCUAUAAGACUGGGAUAACUUCGGGAAACCGUAGCUAAUACCGGAUAAUAUUUUGAACCGCAUGGUUCAAAAGUGAAAGACGGUCUUGCUGUCACUUAUAGAUGGAUCCGCGCUGCAUUAGCUAGUUGGUAAGGUAACGGCUUACCAAGGCAACGAUGCAUAGCCGACCUGAGAGGGUGAUCGGCCACACUGGGACUGAGACACGGUCCAGACUCCUACGGGAGGCAGCAGUAGGGAAUCUUCCGCAAUGGGCGAAAGCCUGACGGAGCAACGCCGCGUGAGUGAUGAAGGUCUUCGGAUCGUAAAACUCUGUUAUUAGGGAAGAACAUAUGUGUAAGUAACUGUGCACAUCUUGACGGUACCUAAUCAGAAAGCCAUGGCUAACUACGUG
RNAcentral lists this ribosomal RNA (497 nucleotides) under uncultured bacterium. RNAcentral describes it as "partial 16S ribosomal RNA". It matches the Rfam family "Bacterial small subunit ribosomal RNA", at positions 28 to 507 of the family's 1533-position model. The record is from RNAcentral.